UCUGGAGGCAGCCUGAGAGUGACUCGGGAAAGCACAGCGCUGGGAACACAGCUGGGCUCGGGACAGCUGGUGCAGCAUCAGCCACGACUGGGACAGAGGGACCAGGUACCGGAUGGCAAGGUGGAGAGGACCUCCCUGGAGUAGAUUAUACCACUGCAAACCGUGUUGUGCACUUUCCACCUCCCUUGCAUGUGCCUUGUUGGGAAGAGAUGCUCACCAGAGAAGAAAAUGGUGCCUGGGACAGGGAGUUUGUUGAGAGACAUCCAUGUCUCCUUGCCACAAUUUCCUGAGUGGAUUCUGCCUUGUGUCCCCU
This 313-nucleotide long non-coding RNA is filed under the name Parus major (Great Tit). RNAcentral describes it as "lncRNA (ENSPMJG00000016561.1)". Lineage: Eukaryota; Metazoa; Chordata; Aves; Passeriformes; Paridae. The record is from RNAcentral.